CCUACGGGGGGCAGCAAUUAGGAAUCUUGCGCAAUGGGGGAAACCCUGAUCCAGCCAUUCCGCGUGAGUGAAGAAGGCCUUCGGGUUGUAAAGCUCUUUCGGCAGGAACGAAACGGCGGACUCUAACAUAGUCUGUCAAUGACGGUACCUGAAGAAGAAGCACCGGCUAACUACGUGCCAGCAGCCGCGGUAAUACGUAGGGUGCGAGCGUUAAUCGGAAUUACUGGGCGUAAAGCGUGCGCAGGCGGCUUUGUAAGACGGAUGUAAAAUCCCUGGGCUUAACCUAGUAACUGCGUUCGUGACUGCAAAGCUAGAGUGCGGCAGAGGGGGGUGAAAUUCCUGGUGUAGCAGUGAAAUGCGUAGAGAUCAGGAGGAACACCGAUGGCGAGGGCGGCCCCCUGGGUUGAAACUGACGCUCAUGCACGAAAGCGGGGGGAGCAAACAGGAUUAGAUCCCUUGUUAGU
RNAcentral lists this ribosomal RNA (464 nucleotides) under uncultured Rhodocyclaceae bacterium. RNAcentral describes it as "partial 16S ribosomal RNA". It matches the Rfam family "Bacterial small subunit ribosomal RNA", at positions 338 to 794 of the family's 1533-position model. Lineage: Bacteria; Pseudomonadati; Pseudomonadota; Betaproteobacteria; Rhodocyclales; Rhodocyclaceae. The record is from RNAcentral.